This 468-nucleotide ribosomal RNA is filed under the name uncultured bacterium. Its description in RNAcentral is "partial 16S ribosomal RNA". It matches the Rfam family "Bacterial small subunit ribosomal RNA", at positions 28 to 507 of the family's 1533-position model. The record is from RNAcentral.
GACGAACGCUGGCGGCGUGCUUAACACAUGCAAGUCGAACGGAAAGGCCCUGCUUUUGUGGGGUGCUCGAGUGGCGAACGGGUGAGUAACACGUGAGUAACCUGCCCUUGACUUUGGGAUAACUUCAGGAAACUGGGGCUAAUACCGGAGAGGAGCUCCUGCUGCAUGGUGGGGGUUGGAAAGUGUCGGCGGUUGGGGAUGGACUCGCGGCUUAUCAGCUUGUUGGUGGGGUAGUGGCUUACCAAGGCUUUGACGGGUAGCCGGCCUGAGAGGGUGACCGGCCACAUUGGGACUGAGAUACGGCCCAGACUCCUACGGGAGGCAGCAGUGGGGAAUAUUGCACAAUGGGCGGAAGCCUGAUGCAGCAACGCCGCGUGCGGGAUGACGGCCUUCGGGUUGUAAACCGCUUUCGCCUGUGACGAAGCGUGAGUGACGGUAAUGGGUAAAGAAGCACCGGCUAACUACGUG